GGGGCCGAUCGGUUUCGACUGGACAGGGAAGGCUCGUCGUGGCGCGUCGAGGGGCGUGAUGGCCUCGUAAAAAUCACGCAACACAUUAACUGCCAACCGCAGUUACUCCCUCGCGGCCUAACCAGGCCGCGUGAGCUCCGCCCCACGCCUGAUAAGGCGGGGCUCACACACUUCAGGCUGGCGGAGAUCUGCGCCCGCAGGGAUCAGCCGCGAGAAAAUGCUGGGGGAUUGGUCGUCUCGGAGGGCGCGGAUGCCCGCCGAACGAGCGAAAGCAAAUCGUCCGAUACACGCGUAGAUGCGGCGUGCUGACUGUCUCAGGACGGGGGUUCGAUUCCCCCCGGCUCCAUUC
This 349-nucleotide transfer-messenger RNA is filed under the name Phycisphaerales. RNAcentral's name for it is "RI-211 sp021405315 Standard tmRNA". It matches the Rfam family "transfer-messenger RNA". Rfam says of the family: Bacterial tmRNA, also known as 10Sa RNA or SsrA, is named for its dual tRNA and mRNA-like properties. Its role is to liberate the mRNA from a stalled ribosome. The record is from RNAcentral. RNAcentral also lists the same sequence under 1 other name. Lineage: Bacteria; Pseudomonadati; Planctomycetota; Phycisphaerae.